This 253-nucleotide ribosomal RNA is filed under the name uncultured bacterium. RNAcentral describes it as "partial 16S ribosomal RNA". It matches the Rfam family "Bacterial small subunit ribosomal RNA", at positions 524 to 776 of the family's 1533-position model. The record is from RNAcentral.
GACAGAGGUCCCGAGCGUUAGGCGGAAUCACUGGGCUUAAAGCGUGUGUAGGCGGAUUGGUAAGUACCUUGUGAAAUCCCACGGCUUAACCGUGGAACUGCUUGGUAUACUGCUAAUCUUGGGCCAUCUAGGGGCUACCGGAACAAGUGGUGGAGCGGUGAAAUGCGCAGAUAUCGGGAGGAACACCAAUGGCGAAGGCAGCUCGCUGGGACGUUACUGACGCUGAGACGCGAAAGCGUGGGGAGCAAACAGG